RNAcentral lists this long non-coding RNA (4539 nucleotides) under Sus scrofa (pig). Its description in RNAcentral is "lncRNA (ENSSSCG00045028746.1)". The record is from RNAcentral. Lineage: Eukaryota; Metazoa; Chordata; Mammalia; Artiodactyla; Suidae.
UGCUGUGGCUGUGGUGUAGGCUGGCGGCUACAGCCCCGAUUCAACCCCUAGCCUGGGAACUUCCAUAUGCCAAGAGCAUGGCCUGAAAAAAGGAAAAAAAAAAAAAAAAGAUGAGAUGAGAAAAGAUGCAAGGUCAGGAGUCCUACGGUAUCCUGCAGACUCUGACUUUCCCUCUGCCCUCGAGGAUCUACUAAAUAUUCACCUCCACAGUUGUUUUCCGAGCUCAAGGGAUUCCCUCUUAAUCAAUAAACAUUUCACAACCACACAAACACCAUUAGCUGAAAAUAUUAUUUUGGCUUAGUACGUGUCCUUGUUACAUCGUGGUUUAUAUCUGGAAAGGCCUCCGUAUGAUCAUUAUACAUGGAAGCAGUGAUGUCUCGCUAAUGCAGCAUCACAGGGACGGCUCCUGUACGGGGGGGCUCCAGGCCAUAGCAGUGACCUUCCUGGAUAGAUGAAAAUGACCUCCCUAAAGACCAGCCCUUUGAAAAGUUUCACCAUUUUUCCUGGAACUCUUAGUUUUCAAAACCAUAACAAAAACUUAUGUUUAUCAAUGGAUUUUUUAAAUUCAUUGAAUUAAAAAACAUUAAUUUUAAAAAAUUGGAUUUUUUUAAAUAAAAGUAUAGAGAUGCCUGCCUCUUUAUAAUGUGGAAAUCAAUUUAGCUUUUUCAUCGCCUUCCAGAGCAUCAUGAAGAGAAGGCAUAAUUGAACAUUGUAAUAAUUUGGUACUAGUUUUGCUUUACUCAGCAUUAGAUCACCAGAUGACACUUUGUGCCAUUAUUUUACCCAUUGGUCCCCCUUUUUUGUUUUUUGGCUUUUUAGGGCCGCACCCACAGCAUAUGGAGGUUCCCAGGCUAGGGGUCGAAUUGGAGCUACAGCUACCGACCUACACCACAGCCAUAGUAAUGCCAGAUCCAAGCCACAUCUGCAAACUACACCACAGCUCAUGGCAACGCCAGAUCCUUAACCCACUGACCAAAGCCAGGGAUCGAACUCGUAUCCUCAUGGAUCCUAGUCGAGUUCGUUAACCACUGAGCCACAAUGGGUAUAUACCCAAAAGAAUUUAAAGCAUGGUCUCAAUGAGAUUUUGUGUGCUCCUGUUCACAGCAGCACGGUUCACCAUAGCCAAAAGGUGGGAACAGCUGGAGGGUCUGUCGACUCUUGGUGGGUAAACAAAGUCUGGUGUAUACCUACAGUGGAGUAGUAUUCAGCCUUAAAAAGGAAGUGUUGUCAGAGUUCCCGGUGUGGCUCAGCGGAAAUGAGGCUGACUGGUAUCCGUGAGGACACAGGUUCGAUCCCUGGCCUUGUUCAGCGAGUUAAGGAUCGGGCAUUGCCGUGAGCUGUGGUGUAGGUCCCAGAUGUGGCUCAGAUCCUGCGUUGCUGUGGCUGUGGCAGAGGCCAGCGGCCGAAGCUCCAAUUCGGCCCCUAGCCUGGGAUGCUCUAUAUGCCACUAGUGCAGCUUUAAAAAAAAGGAAGUAUUUUCCCCCAGAGUCCCCACGUUGUCCUGGACAGAGUGAGUUUCCUUCCUGAGGUCAUUUCCACCCAGGCCACGACCUGUACCCGUCAUGGCCCACCCCUCACCCCCGCCCUGCCAUCUCCCAGCUCCCAAGGAGGUCAAAAGAGGAGCGAAGGGAACGGAAGAGAUGGGGAAGGGAAAAGUGGCUCAGGGGACAGCCCCCCUCUGCGCCGGGCGGGACGACAGCUGGAUCCGUGGGCACGUGCACCUAUAUGCUAUGAUCCCAUUUUACAGAUGACGGAAAGGCGGCUUCCAGUUUCCAAAUGCCAAAAUGAGUGGAGUGUGAGAAACAAGAAAGUGUUGGGAGUUGGUUACUCCCAGAUUUCUAGAGAAGUGAACCUGUGUCCCAGUGCUGCAGAGACAUGGCAGAUCGUGCUGUGGCACGGCAGGAACUCCCAGGCCUAUUCUUUUUUUUUUUCUUUUUUUUGUCUUUUGUCUUUUGUUGUGUUGUUGUUGUUGUUGCUAUUUCUUGGGCCGCUCCUGCGGCAUAUGGAGGUUCCCAGGCCAGCGGCCACAUCUCCAAUUUGACUCCUAGCCUGGAAACAUCCAUAUGCUAUGAGAGCGGCCCUAGAAAAGGCAAAAGGACAAAACAAAACAAAACAAAACAAAGCACAAGAGACAGUGGCUGGCUCCCUUACUAUGGCAAACUCAGAAUAAUGGCUUUUGCUUUUCGCAUUUAUUGAUUUUUUUUUCUUUUAAUGAGCACACCUGCAGCACAGGGAAGUUCCCAGGCCAUGGGUCGAGUCAACCUACGCCACAGCCACGGCAGCACUGGAUCCGAGCCACAUCCGCCACCUACAACACAGCUGGUGGCAACGCCCAGAUACUUAACCUACCUAGAAAGGCCAGGGGUCGAACCCACAUCCUCAUGGACACUAUGUCAGGUUCUUAACCACUGAGCCGCAACAGAAACUCCCGGCUUUUCUCAUUUUAUUGGUCUUCCUUUGUUUCCACAGAUGUUUACUAUAUAAUUAAAAAAUGCUAUUCAACCUUUUGCAACACUUAAUAACUCCCCAGACAUAACUGUUACAACCCUGGCUUACUAGCAAGACCACCGGCCUCGCCCGUCACCUCUCCCACUGGUUGUCAUGACAUUAACCAGCCAUCUGGCAAGUGACAGGAUCACCACGUGCCAUAUAGUUCUUUCAUUAUUAUAGCACUGAAAUUUUUAACAGUGGGCAAUCAUUUGAAAAAUUCUUUUAGAACAAUUCUUUUGCCACUUAGACUCUUCUAUGGUACUUACUUCAGAAACUGAGGAAGAGCAAGUAUUAAUUUGUUCUUAUGUUCGUGGAAGGUUGAGUGGCCGUCAUUGAUGACCUCCAAACAAUAGCAACGUUUGUACAUCCUACUUGAGAAUGUACAUGACUCCGAGCUCGCACCGCUCACUGCACGACAGACCAAUAAGCCAAGAGAUGACAUGUUGGGGCGAGGAAUAGUGACUUUAUUCAGAAAGCCAGCAGACCAAAAAGACGGUGGACUCGUGUCCCAAAGAACCAGCUUGCCUGAGUUAGCAUUCAGCCUUCUUUUAUACUAAAAGGGGAGGGCGCAACGUCAGCCACUUCCUGGUUCCCAUCGACCUCUGGAAGGGAUGUGUUAAUGUCUUCCUUCCCGCAGCCACUCACAGGUGGACCUGGUCAGGAUGUUUCCUGGGAGCUGAACAAGGGUAUUUUAGCUUCAUGCUCAUUACUUUGGGAGGCAGGGUUCCCAGAGAUGGGCCAUGAUUAUAAUUUAAGCUUACGGGCAACAGCCCUUUAGUGAUUAACUUGUAAUAGAACACAAAGCUUCUUGCCUCUUACACAGGUUAGGAACUCUUUCCGUUUGCCUGGAUCUGAAUAACCACCAGCUGCACGUCGGAGGUAAGAAAGUGUUUGAUAAAGCUGGGUCUAUGAUCGUGCUGAAUCGUCAUAAAGGAAAAUAUUUUUUAAAAUAGGCGCCACACUUUUCUCCUUGUACCUCCACAUAUAUGACUUCUCCCAGUUCUGUUAGCAGUAUCCAUUUGUCUCAGGCAGGGUGGUGCUUCUUAAGGAAGGAAGGUAAAGAGAAAAUGUUAUGUUUUUGCAGUCUAGCCAUUGCUUUUGAGAAAUUUGGAGGGGGGAUCUUUUUAGGGCCAUACCCUCAGCGUAUGGAGGUUCUCAGGCUAGGGGUCAAAUCAGAGCUGUAGCCGCUGGCCUACACCACAGCCAUAGCAACACAGGAUCCUUAACCCACUAAGCGAGGCCAGGGAUUGAAACUUCGUCCUCAUGGAUGCUAGUCAGAUUCAUUUCUGCUGAGCGGGAACUCCGCUUUUGAGAAUUUUUAAGAUCACAGACUUGCAAAGAGACAGAUGCUUUAUAUUUCCAGGGGCAAAUCGGGCUGGCUUGUGGAUUAUUACAAGAACAUAAUUUUUAACCCUGAUGAUCAUUUGAAAAAUGUAAGAGGAGUUCCCGUCGUGGCUCAGUGGUUAAUAAAUCCGACCCCGGAACCAUGAGGUUGAGGGUUUGAUCCCUGGCCUCGCUCAGUGGGUUGGGGAUCCGGCGUUGCCGUGAGCUGUGGUGUAGGUUGCAGACGCGGCUCGGAUCCCGCGUUGCUGUGGCUCUGGCAUAAGGCCAGCGGCUACAGCUCCGAUUCCACCCCUAGCCUGGGAACCUCAACACUGAAUAAACGUGAUUGAUUCUCACAUAGGGCUCAUUUUGAAUCCAUGCGUUAAGGCUCAUCAGCCCAGGUGAUAGGCUGUCAUUUCUGGUUCUUUAUCAAUUUGGCUCCCUCUAGUGGUCAGUGUGUGAGUUUACUAAAAUUCUCCAGUAGGUUCUCAUUCUUUAAAACGUCCUUUAAAAAACAAAGCAGCGUCAUUUCUUUUGUUUAGGGGGAACUGAUUGACUGAAAUUAAGAGAAUAUGUAUAUUUUUAGCAAAUAUGAUAAUCAUUUUUUGAAGAAUUACUAAGAUUUUAUAUAGGGUUGACAGAUUUAGCCAAUAAAAAAUACAAGGUACUCAGUACAAUUUAAAUUUCAGAUUAAGAAAAUUUUUUAAUAAUAAAUAUGCUCCAAAU